This 252-nucleotide ribosomal RNA is filed under the name uncultured bacterium. RNAcentral describes it as "partial 16S ribosomal RNA". It matches the Rfam family "Bacterial small subunit ribosomal RNA", at positions 524 to 776 of the family's 1533-position model. The record is from RNAcentral.
UACAGAGGUCUCAAGCGUUGUUCGGAUUCAUUGGGCGUAAAGGGUGCGUAGGUGGCGUGGUAAGUCGGAUGUGAAAUCCCGGGGCUCAACCCCGGAACUGCAUUCGAUACUGCCUUGCUAGAGUACUGGAGAGGAGAUUGGAAUUUACGGUGUAGCAGUGAAAUGCGUAGAUAUCGUAAGGAAGACCAGUGGCGAAGGCGGAUCUCUGGACAGUUACUGACACUGAGGCACGAAGCCAGGGGAGCAAACGGG